Molecule: transfer RNA, 71 nt
Filed under: Mus pahari (shrew mouse)
Lineage: Eukaryota; Metazoa; Chordata; Mammalia; Rodentia; Muridae
Description: tRNA-Gly (TCC) (tRNA-Gly-TCC-2-1)
Rfam family: tRNA
About the family: Transfer RNA (tRNA) molecules are approximately 80 nucleotides in length. Their secondary structure includes four short double-helical elements and three loops (D, anti-codon, and T loops).
Source: RNAcentral
GUAUUGGUGAUUCAAUGGUAGAAUUCUUGCCUUCCAUGCAGGUGACCCGGGUUCAAUUCCUGGUCAAUGCA